AUUGAACGCUGGCGGCAGGCCUAACACAUGCAAGUCGAACGAGUGGCGGACGGGUGAGUAAUGUCUGGGAAACUGCCCGAUGGAGGGGGAUAACUACUGGAAACGGUAGCCAAUAACGCAUACCAUCGGAUGUGCCAAGAUGGGAUUAGCUAUGAGGUGGGGGAACGGCUCCACUAGGCGACGAUCCCUCGCUGGUAUGAGAGGAUGACCAGCCACACUGUAACUGAGCCCCGGUACAGACUCCUACGGGAGGCAGCAUUGGGGAGUAUUGCACUAUGUGCGCAAGCCUGAUGCAGCCAUGCCGAGUGUAUGAAGAAGGCCUUCGGGUUGUAAAGUACUUUCAGCGGGGAGGCGUUACCCGCAGAAGAAGCACCGGCUAACUACGUGCCAGCAGCCGCGGUAAUUC
This 406-nucleotide ribosomal RNA is filed under the name uncultured bacterium. RNAcentral's name for it is "partial 16S ribosomal RNA". It matches the Rfam family "Bacterial small subunit ribosomal RNA", at positions 30 to 526 of the family's 1533-position model. The record is from RNAcentral.